GUGCCAGCAGCCGCGGUAAUACGGAGGGUGCAAGCGUUAAUCGGAAUUACUGGGCGUAAAGCGUGUGUAGGUGGUUCGUUAAGUCGGAUGUGAAAGCCCCGGGCUCAACCUGGGAACUGCAUUCGAUACUGACGGACUAGAGUUUAGCAGAGGAAAGCGGAAUUCCGGGUGUAGCGGUGAAAUGCGUAGAUAUCCGGAGGAACACCAGUGGCGAAGGCGGCUUUCUGGGUUAAAACUGACACUGAGGCACGAAAGCGUGGGUAGCAAACAGGAUUAGAUACCCUGGUAGUCCACGCCCUAAACGAUGUCGACUGGCUGUCGGGUUCAUUUGGAACUUGGUAGCGAAGCUAACGCGUUAAGUCGACCGCCUGGGGAGUACGGCCGCAAGGUUGAAACUUAAAUGAAUUGGCGGGG
This 414-nucleotide ribosomal RNA is filed under the name uncultured prokaryote. Its description in RNAcentral is "bacterial SSU rRNA". It matches the Rfam family "Bacterial small subunit ribosomal RNA", at positions 505 to 918 of the family's 1533-position model. The record is from RNAcentral.